This 1113-nucleotide ribosomal RNA is filed under the name Bacillus spizizenii. Its description in RNAcentral is "bacterial SSU rRNA". It matches the Rfam family "Bacterial small subunit ribosomal RNA", at positions 56 to 1153 of the family's 1533-position model. Lineage: Bacteria; Bacillati; Bacillota; Bacilli; Caryophanales; Bacillaceae. The record is from RNAcentral.
UGCAAGUCGAGCGGACAGAUGGGAGCUUGCUCCCUGAUGUUAGCGGCGGACGGGUGAGUAACACGUGGGUAACCUGCCUGUAAGACUGGGAUAACUCCGGGAAACCGGGGCUAAUACCGGAUGGUUGUUUGAACCGCAUGGUUCAAACAUAAAAGGUGGCUUCGGCUACCACUUACAGAUGGACCCGCGGCGCAUUAGCUAGUUGGUGAGGUAACGGCUCACCAAGGCAACGAUGCGUAGCCGACCUGAGAGGGUGAUCGGCCACACUGGGACUGAGACACGGCCCAGACUCCUACGGGAGGCAGCAGUAGGGAAUCUUCCGCAAUGGACGAAAGUCUGACGGAGCAACGCCGCGUGAGUGAUGAAGGUUUUCGGAUCGUAAAGCUCUGUUGUUAGGGAAGAACAAGUACCGUUCGAAUAGGGCGGUACCUUGACGGUACCUAACCAGAAAGCCACGGCUAACUACGUGCCAGCAGCCGCGGUAAUACGUAGGUGGCAAGCGUUGUCCGGAAUUAUUGGGCGUAAAGGGCUCGCAGGCGGUUUCUUAAGUCUGAUGUGAAAGCCCCCGGCUCAACCGGGGAGGGUCAUUGGAAACUGGGGAACUUGAGUGCAGAAGAGGAGAGUGGAAUUCCACGUGUAGCGGUGAAAUGCGUAGAGAUGUGGAGGAACACCAGUGGCGAAGGCGACUCUCUGGUCUGUAACUGACGCUGAGGAGCGAAAGCGUGGGGAGCGAACAGGAUUAGAUACCCUGGUAGUCCACGCCGUAAACGAUGAGUGCUAAGUGUUAGGGGGUUUCCGCCCCUUAGUGCUGCAGCUAACGCAUUAAGCACUCCGCCUGGGGAGUACGGUCGCAAGACUGAAACUCAAAGGAAUUGACGGGGGCCCGCACAAGCGGUGGAGCAUGUGGUUUAAUUCGGAGCAACGCGAAGAACCUUACCAGUCUUGACAUCCUGCUGACAUCCUAGAGAUAGGACGUCCCGUUCGGGGCAGAGUGGACAGUGGUGCAUGGGUGUCGUCAGCUGCUGUCGUGAGAUGUGGGUUAGUCGCGCAACGAGCGCAACCCUUGAUCGUAGGUGCCCGUCAUUCAGUUGGGCACUUCUAAGGUGGACUGAC